CUAUCGAGUGUCGAUUAAGCCAUGCGAGUCGAGAGUGUGUAAUGACCUCGCGCAGACUGUUCAUUAACACUUGGGUAACCUGCCUUAGGGUCCGGGAUAACCCCGGGAAACUGGGGAUAUUACCGGAUGGGUCACCAUUGCUGGAAUGCUUGGUGGUCGAAAGGUGACGCCUUUGGAUGGGUCUGCGGCGGAUUAGGUUGACGCCGGUGUAACGUACCGGCGUGCCUGUAAUCCGUACGGGUUGUGGGAGCAAGAGCCCGGAGAUGGAUUCUGAGACACGAAUCCAGGCCCUACGGGGCGCAGCAGGCGCGAAAACUCUACAAUGCUGCAACUGCGAUAGGGGGGACAUCGAGUGGCAUCCACCUUGGGUGUCUGUCCAACCGUCUAAAAAACGGUUGUUAGCAAGGGCCGGGCAAGACCGGUGCCAGCCGCCGCGGUAAUACCGGCGGCUCGAGUGGUGGCCGAUAUUAUUGAGUCUAAAGGGUCUGUAGCCGGCUUUGAUAAGUCCCCUGGGAAAUCUGGCGGCUUAACUGUUGGGCUUUCAUGGAGAUACUACAUUGCUUGGGACUGGGAGAGGUAAGAGGUACUUCGGGGGUAGGGGU
RNAcentral lists this ribosomal RNA (602 nucleotides) under uncultured archaeon. RNAcentral describes it as "bacterial SSU rRNA". It matches the Rfam family "Archaeal small subunit ribosomal RNA", at positions 30 to 633 of the family's 1478-position model. The record is from RNAcentral.